GACGUAGGGCGCGAGCGUUGUCCGGAUUUAUUGGGCGUAAAGAGCUCGUAGGCGGUUUGUCGCGUCUGCCGUGAAAGUCCGGGGCUCAACUCCGGAUCUGCGGUGGGUACGGGCAGACUAGAGUGAUGUAGGGGAGACUGGAAUUCCUGGUGUAGCGGUGAAAUGCGCAGAUAUCGGGAGGAACACCGGUGGCGAAGGCGGCGACCUGGGUGGAUACUGACGCUGAGGCGCGAAAGCGUGGGGAGCAAACAGG
Molecule: ribosomal RNA, 253 nt
Filed under: uncultured bacterium
Lineage: Bacteria
Description: partial 16S ribosomal RNA
Rfam family: Bacterial small subunit ribosomal RNA
Source: RNAcentral